Molecule: transfer RNA, 76 nt
Filed under: Acinetobacter sp. 1281984
Lineage: Bacteria; Pseudomonadati; Pseudomonadota; Gammaproteobacteria; Moraxellales; Moraxellaceae
Description: tRNA-Gly
Rfam family: tRNA
About the family: Transfer RNA (tRNA) molecules are approximately 80 nucleotides in length.
Source: RNAcentral
GCGGGAAUAGCUCAGUUGGUAGAGCAUAACCUUGCCAAGGUUGGGGUCGCGGCUUCGAGUCUCGUUUCCCGCUCCA